Non-coding RNA from Thrips palmi, 75 nucleotides. Lineage: Eukaryota; Metazoa; Arthropoda; Insecta; Thysanoptera; Thripidae. The record is from the annotation of a RefSeq genome assembly.
GACUCCGUGGCGCAACGGUAGCGCGUCUGACUCCAGAUCAGAAAAGGGUUUCGUGUUCAAAUCACGUCGGGGUCA